Molecule: microRNA, 23 nt
Filed under: Brachypodium distachyon (stiff brome)
Lineage: Eukaryota; Viridiplantae; Streptophyta; Magnoliopsida; Poales; Poaceae
Description: bdi-miR159b-5p.2
Gene: bdi-miR159b-5p.2
Source: miRBase by way of RNAcentral
AAGGUCUGUCAGAAGGGUGAUAC